Molecule: transfer RNA, 85 nt
Filed under: Fodinibius salsisoli
Lineage: Bacteria; Pseudomonadati; Balneolota; Balneolia; Balneolales; Balneolaceae
Description: tRNA-Leu
Rfam family: tRNA
About the family: Transfer RNA (tRNA) molecules are approximately 80 nucleotides in length. Their secondary structure includes four short double-helical elements and three loops (D, anti-codon, and T loops).
Source: RNAcentral
GCCUGAGUGGCGGAAUUGGUAGACGCGCCGGAUUCAAAAUCCGGUAACCAUUUCGGUUGUGGGGGUUCGAGUCCCCCCUCAGGUA